GCAUCGCGCGAGCCUGAUGCAGCCAUGCCGCGUGUGUGAAGAAGGCCUUCGGGUUGUAAAGACACAGCGAGGAGGAAAGGUUACUGGCUAAUAUCCAGUAGCUGUGACGUUACUCGCAGAAGAAGCACCGGCUAACUCCGUGCCAGCAGCCGCGGUAAUACGGAGGGUGCGAGCGUUAAUCGGAAUUACUGGGCGUAAAGCGUGCGCAGGCGGUUUGUUAAGCGAGAUGUGAAAGCCCCGGGCUCAACCUGGGAACUGCAUUUUGAACUGGCAAACUAGAGUCUUGUAGAGGGGGGUAGAAUUCCAGGUGUAGCGGUGAAAUGCGUAGAGAUCUGGAGGAAUACCGGUGGCGAAGGCGGCCCCCUGGACAAAGACUGACGCUCAUGCACGAAAGCGUGGGGAGCAAACAGGAUUAGAUACCCUGGUAGUCCACGCCGUAAACGAUGUCUACUCGGAGUUUGGUGUCUUGAACACUGGGCUCUCAAGCUAACGCAUUAAGUAGACCGCCUGGGGAGUACGGCCGCAAGGUUAAAACUCAAAUGAAUUUGACGGGGA
Molecule: ribosomal RNA, 555 nt
Filed under: Shewanella sp. 1Bf3S52
Lineage: Bacteria; Pseudomonadati; Pseudomonadota; Gammaproteobacteria; Alteromonadales; Shewanellaceae
Description: bacterial SSU rRNA
Rfam family: Bacterial small subunit ribosomal RNA
Source: RNAcentral